CUCGUUUGGUUUGACAUCACUUGU
This 24-nucleotide non-coding RNA is filed under the name Arabidopsis thaliana (thale cress). Lineage: Eukaryota; Viridiplantae; Streptophyta; Magnoliopsida; Brassicales; Brassicaceae. The record is from RNAcentral.